UACGAAGGGGGCUAGCGUUGUUCGGAAUCACUGGGCGUAAAGGGCGCGUAGGCGGCUUUAUAAGUCGGGGGUGAAAGCCUGUGGCUCAACCACAGAAUUGCCUUCGAUACUGUAGAGCUUGAGACCGGAAGAGGUAAGUGGAACUGCGAGUGUAGAGGUGAAAUUUGUAGAUAUUCGCAAGAACACCAGUGGCGAAGGCGGCUUACUGGUCCGGUUCUGACGCUGAGGCGCGAAAGCGUGGGGAGCAAACAGG
This 253-nucleotide ribosomal RNA is filed under the name uncultured bacterium. Its description in RNAcentral is "partial 16S ribosomal RNA". It matches the Rfam family "Bacterial small subunit ribosomal RNA", at positions 524 to 776 of the family's 1533-position model. The record is from RNAcentral.